RNAcentral lists this ribosomal RNA (468 nucleotides) under uncultured bacterium. Its description in RNAcentral is "partial 16S ribosomal RNA". It matches the Rfam family "Bacterial small subunit ribosomal RNA", at positions 28 to 507 of the family's 1533-position model. The record is from RNAcentral.
GACGAACGCUGGCGGCGUGCUUAACACAUGCAAGUCGAACGGAAAGGCCCUGCUUUUGUACGGUGCUCGAGUGGCGCACGGGUGUGUAACACGUGAGUAACCUUCCCUUGACUUUGGGAUAACUUCAGGAAACUGGGGCUAAUACCCGCUAGGAGCUCCUGCUUCAUAGUGUUUGUUGGAAAGUUUCGGCGGUUGGGGAUGGACUCGCGGCUUAUCAGCUUGUUGGUGGGGUAGUGGCUUACCAAGGCUUUGACGGGUAGCCGGCCUGAGAGGGUGACCGGCCACAUUGGGACGGAGAUACGGCCCAGACUCCAACGGGAGGCAGGAGUGGGGAAUAGUGUACAAUGGGCGGAACGCUGAUUCAGCAACGCCGCGUGGGGGAUAACGGCCUGCGGGUUGUAAUCCGCUUUCGCCUGUGACGAAGCGUGAGUGACGGUAAUGUGUAAAGAAGCACCGGCUAACUACGUG